Molecule: ribosomal RNA, 301 nt
Filed under: uncultured bacterium
Lineage: Bacteria
Description: partial 16S ribosomal RNA
Rfam family: Bacterial small subunit ribosomal RNA
Source: RNAcentral
CAGUAGCCGCGGUAAUACAGAGGGUGCGAGCGUUAAUCGGAAUUACUGGGCGUAAAGCGCGCGUAGGUGGUUUGUUAAGUUGGAUGUGAAAUCCCCGGGCUCAACCUGGGAACUGCAUCCAAAACUGGCAAGCUAGAGUACGGUAGAGGGUGGUGGAAUUUCCUGUGUAGCGGUGAAAUGCGUAGAUAUAGGAAGGAACACCAGUGGCGAAGGCGACCACCUGGACUGAUACUGACACUGAGGUGCGAAAGCGUGGGGAGCAAACAGGAUUAGAUACCCCUGUAGUCCCUGUCUCUUAUAC